RNAcentral lists this ribosomal RNA (378 nucleotides) under Frankia sp. RNAcentral describes it as "bacterial SSU rRNA". It matches the Rfam family "Bacterial small subunit ribosomal RNA", at positions 28 to 416 of the family's 1533-position model. Lineage: Bacteria; Bacillati; Actinomycetota; Actinomycetes; Frankiales; Frankiaceae. The record is from RNAcentral.
GACGAACGCUGGCGGCGUGCUUAACACAUGCAAGUCGAGCGGGGAGCUUCGGCUUCUAGCGGCGAACGGGUGAGUAACACGUGGGCAACCUGCCCCGAUCUCUGGAAUAACCUCGGGAAACCGGGGCUAAUGCCGGAUAUGACAUUGCCGGGCAUCUGGUGGUGUGGAAAGAUUUAUCGGAUCGGGAUGGGCCCGCGGCCUAUCAGCUUGUUGGUGGGGUGAUGGCCUACCAAGGCGACGACGGGUAGCCGGCCUGAGAGGGCGACCGGCCACACUGGGACUGAGACACGGCCCAGACUCCUACGGGAGGCAGCAGUGGGGAAUAUUGCGCAAUGGGCGAAAGCCUGACGCAGCGACGCCGCGUGGGGGAUGACGGCC